AGGAUGAACGCUGGCGGCGUGCUUAACACAUGCAAGUCGAACGAUGAAGCCGGAGCUUGCUCUGGUGGAUUAGUGGCGAACGGGUGAGUAACACGUGAGUAACCUGCCCUUGACUCUGGGAUAAGCGUUGGAAACGCGUCUAAUACCGGAUACGACGCGCGAAGGCAUCUUCUGCGCGUGGAAAAGAAUUUCGGCAAGGAUGGACUCGCGGCCUAUCAGCUAGUUGGUGAGGUACGCCACAAGGCGACGACGGUAGCCGGCUGGAGAGGGUCGACCGGCCACGACGUGGGACUCGGAGACACCGGACCCAGACCGUCCGACGGGAGGCAGCAGGUAGGGGAAUAGUUGCAACAAGUCGGGACG
Molecule: ribosomal RNA, 363 nt
Filed under: uncultured soil bacterium
Lineage: Bacteria
Description: bacterial SSU rRNA
Rfam family: Bacterial small subunit ribosomal RNA
Source: RNAcentral